UUAUGUAAAGUCUAGCCUGCCCAGUGAUAAUUGAAUUUAACGGCCGCGGUAGCAUGACCGUGCUAAGGUAGCAUAAUCAUUUGUCCUUUAAUUGAGGACUGGUAUAAACGGCUGCACAAGAAAUUGUCUGUCUCUACUAUAAAAUUUGAAAUUCACAUUUAAGUGAAAAGGCUUAAAUGGAAUAGGGGGACGAUAAGACCCUAUAAAUCUUUACAAUUAGGGCUUUAGUUAUUAGAAAGUAGUUAUGGAUCUAAAUCUAAGGUCUAAAUUGUUUUGUUGGGGCGACAGAAGUAUAAUAAGUAACUGCUUUGGUUUUCAUAUUAAUUGUUUUUAUUAUGGUUAGUUUAAAAGAUCCUCUUUUGGAGAUCACAGACUAAGUUACUUUAGGGAUAACAGCGUAAUCUUUCUUGAGAGUUCAUAUCGAAAGAAGGGUUUGCGACCUCGAUGUUGAAUUAAAGAACCUUUAUGGUGUAGCCGCUAUAAGAGGA
RNAcentral lists this ribosomal RNA (488 nucleotides) under Panulirus argus (Caribbean spiny lobster). Its description in RNAcentral is "partial 16S ribosomal RNA". It matches the Rfam family "Bacterial large subunit ribosomal RNA", at positions 1843 to 2572 of the family's 2925-position model. The record is from RNAcentral. Lineage: Eukaryota; Metazoa; Arthropoda; Malacostraca; Decapoda; Palinuridae.